CAACUGCGGUUGCUUUGGAUACGCAGCGUAAACUGGGUGUAGUCGAUAUAAUUUAGUUUAAGUUUAUCUUAACUGAAAAAGCGGAACAUCUGAAUGCAUUUGUGUAUAUUGUUACAAUGUGAAAAGAUAAACAAAUCGCAUUAUUUGCUUUCUCUUUUCUGAAAUAAUUAUACAAGUUCUUGAGUUAAUAGAGAGUUGUAAGAAGAAAACGUAACUUUAACAUUCAAACAGUAGAUUAUCAAACGUUGAAGUGAGAAAUGGCCAUCAUUAACUACGUGCGGGAAUUACGUAUUGAAUUUUUCUUGUUUUUAAUCAUAUUUGUUAUCUCGUUGAAAAGUGUAUCUCAACAGAGUUUAAUAUUAGAACGAGUGUGCAGAUUCCAUUUUGGUUAUUCGGAAAAAAUAUGCAAUAAUCUUACAGAAUAUGAUUCCAUUCAAGCAUCUGUACAGAAAAUUUCUACUCGUUACAAUCUAG
Molecule: long non-coding RNA, 474 nt
Organism: Centruroides sculpturatus (bark scorpion)
Lineage: Eukaryota; Metazoa; Arthropoda; Arachnida; Scorpiones; Buthidae
Exons: 3
Source: RefSeq, a predicted model, not a curated record